UUGGGGUUAAGACUUGGUUCAGAAGGCAGGCCCGUCCCGUUGAGUUGGAUCACUGUGUUACAUUCCCAUUAUAGAAUGGGAGCUGAGUUGUAAGAAGGACCUAGAUAAUGACUGAUGCCUGAUAAAACCUUCUGAAAUGCUUUCGAUCACCGGGGGGGGGUUUGAUUUUUCACUGGUCCAAGGGAGAUCACCUGCUGAGAGCACUGUGAAGAUAAGGGGUUCCCUAAAACACACCAAAGAUGUGGUUUCUGCUGCUGUUUUCCUGACAGAGAAGGCCUGCCAUGGUGCACACCGUCAGGAAGAGGGGUCUAGACAGAAAGGAUCCUGCAUUACUACUGCUCCAGGGCUCUGAUCAGCCUGAAAUAGAAGUUCUUGCCUACUUACUUUCUAAGAACUAAAUCCUCGGUGCUUCUUGCCCUCACUGUCUGGUCCGUGGUGAAGAGCGUCCUCAGGAAGGACGGCCGCUUGGGCUUCUACCACGGCCUCUCCAGCACCUUACCCAAGAGGUGCCCGGCUAUUUCCUCUUCUUUGGCGGCUAUGAGCUGAGCAGGUCGUUUUUUGCAUCAGGAAGAUCGAAGGAUGAGCUAGGCCCUGUCCCUUUGAUGUUAAGCGGUGGAGUUGGUGGGAUCUGCCUCUGGCUUGCUGUAUACCCAGUGGAUUGCGUCAAAUCCAGAAUUCAAGUUCUUUCCAUGUCUGGAAAACAGGCAGGAUUUAUCGGAACCUUUAUAAGCAUUGUGAAAAAUGAAGAAACCCUUCCCGGGAGCAGAGUGCCAAAGCCAAGAGAAGCCCUUGUUCGCUGUCUGGUGCCUGAAGGACAGUGCUCAUGGGCAAGGUCCUCUUUUGGAUGGAACUGGACAGAACCGAGGGCUUGUCCUCCGCAGGUCUUCCUAAAUAUGACAACUGUCCAUUUUUCUUUUGGUUCCAUACAUCUUUUGUACAAAAUAACAGGUAUGGCUCUAGUAGAAAUGGCUUAAUCUCCAAGAUCUGUGUAAGGCAGAAUGGCACUCCUGCCCUCAAUUUAUAGAAACCAAGAAAUCCUCAAGUCCCCCAUUCUUCAUUAUGUAAAAUAUAGGGUUAGUGUUGAGAACCACUGUGGCCUUAUCCUCAAAGUCCAUGCCAUAGGACUGUGUCAUAGGAGCUGAGACGUAUUCUAAUCAGAUCUAGGUGUGGUGAUAAAUCCCUCCCCUUGCAAGUGUAGCAGGAGUCUGCUCAGUUACUCCGAAUGGGCAGGUCCACCGUGUGUGGACUGAUGUGGACUGAUGUGGUCUACUGGUGACCGACCACCUACCACAUUCUAGGCCAGAAAGGAAAGCAUCCUCGAGGAAGGCUUUAUCUAGUUUAAAGGUGACUGAUACAACUAGAUCUAGGGCAGAAGUUAGAGGACACAGUAAGCAUCCGUGAAGACAGCUUAAAAAAAAAA
Mustela erminea (ermine) is the source of this 1420-nucleotide RNA transcript. It is a transcript of the gene named mitochondrial substrate carrier family protein S-like, with no coding region annotated. The transcript is spliced from 5 exons. The record is from RefSeq and is a predicted model, not a curated record. Lineage: Eukaryota; Metazoa; Chordata; Mammalia; Carnivora; Mustelidae.